Molecule: ribosomal RNA, 336 nt
Filed under: uncultured bacterium
Lineage: Bacteria
Description: bacterial SSU rRNA
Rfam family: Bacterial small subunit ribosomal RNA
Source: RNAcentral
GAUGAACGCUAGCGACAGGCCUAACACAUGCAAGUCGAGGGGUAGCACAGAAUAGCUUGCUAUUUGGGUGACGACCGGCGCACGGGUGAGUAACGCGUAUGCAACCUGCCUAUAAGAGGGGGAUAGCCUUUCGAAAGAAAGAUUAAUACCGCAUAAUACUGUUUGUCUGCAUGGACGAACAGUUAAACUAUUUGGCUUAUAGAUGGGCAUGCGUUCCAUUAGAUAGUUGGUAGAGGUUAACGGCUCACCAAGUCAGCGAUGGAUAGGGGUUCUGAGAGGAAGGUCCCCCAAACUGGUACUGAGACACGGACCAGACUCCUACGGGAGCAGCAGUGA